CCUACGGGUGGCAGCAGUGAGGAAUCUUGGUCAAUGGACGAGAGUCUGAACCAGCCACGUAGCGUGAAGGAUGACUGCCCUAUGGGUUGUAAACUUCUUUUAUAUGGGAAUAAAACGUUCCACGUGUGGGAUUUUGUAUGUACCAUAUGAAUAAGGAUCGGCUAACUCCGUGCCAGCAGCCGCGGUAAUACGUAGGAUCCGAGCGUUAUCCGGAUUUAUUGGGUUUAAAGGGAGCGUAGGUGGAUUGUUAAGUCAGUUGUGAAAGUUUGCGGCUCAACCGUAAAAUUGCAGUUGAAACUGGCAGUCUUGAGUACAGUAGAGGUGGGCGGAAUUCGUGGUGUAGCGGUGAAAUGCGUAGAUAUCACGAAGAACUCCGAUUGCGAAGGCAGUUCACUGGACUGCAACUGACACUGAGGCUCGAAAGUGUGGGUAGCAAACAGGAUUAGAUACCCCGGUAGUC
RNAcentral lists this ribosomal RNA (460 nucleotides) under uncultured bacterium. RNAcentral's name for it is "partial 16S ribosomal RNA". It matches the Rfam family "Bacterial small subunit ribosomal RNA", at positions 338 to 795 of the family's 1533-position model. The record is from RNAcentral.